UACGUAGGAGGCGAGCGUUGUCCGGAGUUACUGGGCGUAAAGCGCAUGCAGGCGGUCCACCAAGUCGGUCGUGACAGUUUCCGGCUCAACUGGAAAAGGAUGAUCGAAACUGGUGGACUUGAGGGCUCAAGAGGAAUGCGGAAUUCCGGGUGGAGUGGUGAAAUGCGUAGAGAUCCGGAAGAACACCAAAGGCGAAGGCAGCAUUCUGGUGAGCAUCUGACGCUCAGAUGCGAAAGCUAGGGGAGCGAAC
RNAcentral lists this ribosomal RNA (250 nucleotides) under uncultured bacterium. Its description in RNAcentral is "partial 16S ribosomal RNA". It matches the Rfam family "Bacterial small subunit ribosomal RNA", at positions 524 to 773 of the family's 1533-position model. The record is from RNAcentral.